Drosophila nasuta is the source of this 894-nucleotide long non-coding RNA. RefSeq lists it as uncharacterized. The record is from RefSeq and is a predicted model, not a curated record. The transcript has 2 exons. NCBI's taxonomy places the organism in Eukaryota, Metazoa, Arthropoda, Insecta, Diptera, Drosophilidae.
UCUUAAAUUAAGUUUGACAGUUUCCCUUGCAUCUUUUAAUAUUUAACCAAAUGUCGACAGGCUGUCCUAGCAGAUAUUUUAUCCAGCAUCGUAUUCGUCUGUCCACCUCGUAUGGAAAUCUUUGGAGCCAUGCAAAUGGUUGCCCACGCAGCUUCAUUUGCAUUGGAAAAUCCUUUUGCAGAGCUUGGCUGAAAAUCUAUGCAUGCUGUACUCGUAUUCUCGUAUUUGUAUUCUUUCGGCCUACGACGAGUUGGAGCAAAUGCCUUGCAAUGCUUUUUUAAUCAAUUUCUGUCAGUUGACUGUCAGAGGAAAAUCAGAGGCAAUCGCCUCAGUGGACCGAGUUUUAGCCUGGGUUGAAAAUUAUGCGCAUAGAUUUAAAAGAUUUUAAAAGUCCACAUAUAGAGAUGGAUUAAGUGAGGGCGAGAGAGAGCGAAAGAAAGAGCGAGAUGGCACAGUCCGAGAAAACACUCAAAAUUCCAUGACCCAUUGACAAGGACGCAGCAUCGCAGGAUGGAAAUAAAGGAAGCACAGCAACAUUUCCGCCAACGCGAUUAAAAUCUAAAGCAAAUUGUUGUCAAAGUGGAAAAUGUUUUUCCGUAUUUGUCAGAGCCACAUUGAAGAGCAUUUGAUGACUGCCGAGCUCGAGGGGAUUUCCCGGUCUGUCUGACUGAUGCCACUGACCCAAUGAGUUAGUUUCUUGGGUUUGUUCAACUCUUCUUUGAUGAUGAUUGUAUCACAUACGAAAAGCAGAGGAAAAGUGUUUGCAAUGAGGAUGCAAAAGAAGAGAUGAAUUGGCAUCAACUUUAAAAUUUAUAUUAACUAAUAUUUAGAUAAUUGUGCUCACAUUUGAAAUUUAUAGUGGAAAGCAAUCAUAUAAAUAAAUUAGUAUUCGAG